UUGUGAGGGGAGAGAGAGAGCUUGCGUUUUCACAUCAAACUCAAUACAGUGUAGAAUGUAUUAUUUGUGCGGUCACACGCAAUCAAUACAACUUUCAACAACGGAUCUCUUGGCUCUCGCAUCGAUGAAGAACGCAGCGAAAUGCGAUACGUAAUGUGAAUUGCAGAAUUCAGUGAAUCAUCGAAUCUUUGAACGCACCUUGCGCCCCUUGGCAUUCCGAGGGGCACACCCGUUUGAGUGUCGUGAAAUCAUCAAAACCCUUUUCUUUUUGAGAGAAAGGGGUUUUUGGACUUGGAGGUUUGAUGCUUGCUUUCACUUUUGAAAGCAAGCUCCUCCCAAAUAAAUUAGUUGGGUCCGCUUUGUUGAUCCUUGACGUAAUAAGAUGUUUCUACGUUUUGGAUGUGGCAUUGUCAUUUGGAUGCCUGCUUCUAACUGUCUCAUGGACAAUGAUGGUGCUCCGGUCACUGCCACUUUACAUUGGCAGGGAGGCUUGGCCCCACAAAUGAACCCUUGACCUCAAAUCGGGUGAGACUACCCGCUGAACUUAAGCAUAUCA
RNAcentral lists this ribosomal RNA (556 nucleotides) under uncultured fungus. Its description in RNAcentral is "eukaryotic LSU rRNA". The stretch from base 90 to 243 matches the Rfam family "5.8S ribosomal RNA". The record is from RNAcentral. Lineage: Eukaryota; Fungi.